This 253-nucleotide ribosomal RNA is filed under the name uncultured bacterium. RNAcentral describes it as "partial 16S ribosomal RNA". It matches the Rfam family "Bacterial small subunit ribosomal RNA", at positions 524 to 776 of the family's 1533-position model. The record is from RNAcentral.
UACAGAGGUCCCGAGCGUUGUUCGGAUUCACUGGGCGUAAAGGGUGCGUAGGUGGCGAGGUAAGUCGGAUGUGAAAGCUCGGAGCUCAACUCCGAAAUGGCAUUGGAAACUACCUUGCUCGAGGGUUGGAGGGGGGACUGGAAUACUUGGUGUAGCAGUGAAAUGCGUAGAUAUCAAGUGGAACACCAGUGGCGAAGGCGGCUUGCCAGAACGCACUCGACGGUGAGGGAUGAAAGCUGGGGGAGCAAACCGG